CCGAGUUUACAACUCCCAAACCCAAUGUGAACGUUACCAAACUGUUGCCUCGGCGGGGUCACGCCCCGGGUGCGUAAAAGCCCCGGAACCAGGCGCCCGCCGGAGGAACCAACCAAACUCUCUCUGUAGUCCCCUCGCGGACGUAUUUCUUACAGCUCUGAGCAAAAAUUCAAAAUGAAUCA
This 182-nucleotide unclassified non-coding RNA is filed under the name soil metagenome. RNAcentral describes it as "partial internal transcribed spacer 1". The record is from RNAcentral.